Molecule: ribosomal RNA, 345 nt
Filed under: Providencia rettgeri
Lineage: Bacteria; Pseudomonadati; Pseudomonadota; Gammaproteobacteria; Enterobacterales; Morganellaceae
Description: partial 23S ribosomal RNA
Rfam family: Bacterial large subunit ribosomal RNA
Source: RNAcentral
GUUUAAAGUGGUACGCGAGCUGGGUUUAGAACGUCGUGAGACAGUUCGGUCCCUAUCUGCCGUGGGCGUUGGAAGAUUGAAAGGGGCUGCUCCUAGUACGAGAGGACCGGAGUGGACGCACCACUGGUGUUCGGGUUGUCAUGCCAAUGGCAUUGCCCGGUAGCUAAGUGCGGAAGAGAUAACCGCUGAAAGCAUCUAAGCGGGAAACUUGCCUUGAGAUGAGUCUUCCCUGACCCUUUAAGGGUCCUAAAGGAACGUUUAAGACUAAGACGUUGAUAGGUUGGGUGUGUAAGCGUAGCGAUACGUUGAGCUAACCAAUACUAAUGAACCGUGAGGCUUAACCUG